Molecule: transfer RNA, 69 nt
Filed under: Pleurobranchaea novaezealandiae
Lineage: Eukaryota; Metazoa; Mollusca; Gastropoda; Pleurobranchida; Pleurobranchidae
Description: tRNA-Thr
Rfam family: tRNA
About the family: Transfer RNA (tRNA) molecules are approximately 80 nucleotides in length.
Source: RNAcentral
UUCUAAAAUAGCUUAAAAGGUAAAGCUUUGAUUUUGUAAGUCAAAAAUGAGAUUAUUACUCUUUUAGAA